This 236-nucleotide long non-coding RNA is filed under the name Elaeis guineensis (African oil palm). RNAcentral describes it as "long non-coding RNA (EGUI_LNC024869)". Lineage: Eukaryota; Viridiplantae; Streptophyta; Magnoliopsida; Arecales; Arecaceae. The record is from RNAcentral.
ACUAUGCGAACAGCUGUGAUAGCUAGGUAUUCCUUCUUAAUCAUCAGUUAUUUUAUUUUUCAAUUCCUACGAAUGUAUUUAUUUAAUAUUAGUUUAAAAAAUUUAAUUUAACUAAAAAUGAAGGUUUUGAAAUUGUUGCAUUCACGAGGAAGGAGAAAGUAUGCAAAUCCUUUCACGUCCUGGGGCCCAUCAGGCUCACCCUUGUUCCAUUUGUCCAAAUAACCUUUUCGGCCGCA